AAAAUGAUGAAAGACAGCUUGCAGUGGUGGCUGAGCAAGUUUUAGAGGCUCAUACGCAUGCAUCCUCUUCAGAGAUUAAGCAUUUGGAGGAGCUUUCAUUGAGGAGGGAAGAAGAUCUCCAGCAUUCAUCAAGUUCUGAUGCAAUGAUUGGUGAUGACCUCCUUCAAGACGCAGAUGUGAAGCUUGUUUCUUCAGGUUCUAGUUAUCAGCACGUGCCUUCAGAGGCAAAAUCUCCCUAUGAAGUGGAGAAACAGCUGUCUUGGUCAGAUAUUUCUGUUGUUGAACCAUCCAUAAAUGAUGAUGAUGAUGAUAAAUCCCAGGAACCGUCUGUCACCCUGGCAGAGUCAACAGCAGGAGUGAACGUUGCCAACAACUUACAUGUGCCUGAAGUCUUCAAUCAUGAGGCAUCUGAAUCUGCUUCAGUCCCACCAGAGAGUCUAGAGUACAAAUUGAAGGUUGAUGAAGUUGAUUUUAAAGACAAUAUCCUCGAUAAAAUUCUCUAUGAGGACUUAGAACACCCUGACUAUUCAGUAGAAACGCACAGGUCUUCUGUUGCUGAGGGAAAUAUUAAUGAGGAUGGAGAUGAGGUAAAGGAGAUUGAUGAGGGAUUGUUGUCAGAACUGGACACAGUUGG
This 634-nucleotide unclassified non-coding RNA is filed under the name Hevea brasiliensis (rubber tree). The record is from RNAcentral. Lineage: Eukaryota; Viridiplantae; Streptophyta; Magnoliopsida; Malpighiales; Euphorbiaceae.